This 429-nucleotide ribosomal RNA is filed under the name uncultured bacterium. RNAcentral describes it as "bacterial SSU rRNA". It matches the Rfam family "Bacterial small subunit ribosomal RNA", at positions 355 to 776 of the family's 1533-position model. The record is from RNAcentral.
UGGGGAAUAUUGGACAAUGGGGGCAACCCUGAUCCAGCGAUGCCGCGUGUGUGAAGAAGGCCUACGGGUUGUAAAGCACUUUCGGUGGGGAGGAGGACUUGAAGGUUAAGAGCUGUCAAGUUGGACGUUACCCACAAAAGAAGCACCGGCUAACUCCGUGCCAGCAGCCGCGGUAAUACGGAGGGUGCGAGCGUUAAUCGGAAUUACUGGGCGUAAAGGGUGCGUAGGCGGUUUAAUAAGUUAAGUGUGAAAGUCCUGGGCUUAACCUGGGGAAGUCACUUAAGACUGUUAGACUGGAGUAUGGGAGAGGGUAGUGGAAUUUCCGGUGUAGCGGUGAAAUGCGUAGAGAUCGGAAGGAACACCAGUGGCGAAGGCGGCUACCUGGCCCAAUACUGACGCUGAGGCACGAAAGCGUGGGGAGCAAACAGG